Molecule: ribosomal RNA, 291 nt
Filed under: Triticum aestivum (bread wheat)
Lineage: Eukaryota; Viridiplantae; Streptophyta; Magnoliopsida; Poales; Poaceae
Description: partial small subunit ribosomal RNA
Source: RNAcentral
GAACCAAGCAGCUGUGAAGUCGAAGCUACAGUGGCAGGGCCCGGUGGCAUAUGCUGACGAGUAGGUGGUCCGUUCGGUGAUCUUCCUCAACACGUAGUAUGACUUCAGUGCACACGACACAGUAUAUGCCCCCCUGGAGACCGACAACAGAACAACAGUUCCACAAGCAUGAGCACACUUGAAUUCAGGUGAGAGUGUGACCACUCCCAUUCCUGUCACGUAGAAAGAAGAAAACUCCCGUUUCGUACAGAAAUUCCAUGAGAAGCAAAAUGGCGCCACGUCGUAUUAUUU